UACGGAGGGUGCAAGCGUUAUCCGGAUUCACUGGGUUUAAAGGGUGCGUAGGCGGGCUGGUAAGUCAGUGGUGAAAUCCCCGAGCUUAACUUGGGAACUGCCGUUGAUACUAUCAGUCUUGAAUACCGUGGAGGUGAGCGGAAUAUGUCAUGUAGCGGUGAAAUGCUUAGAUAUGACAUAGAACACCAAGUGCGAAGGCAGCGCACUACACGAAUAUUGACGCUGAGGCACGAAAGCGUGGGGAUCAAACAGG
This 253-nucleotide ribosomal RNA is filed under the name uncultured bacterium. RNAcentral describes it as "partial 16S ribosomal RNA". It matches the Rfam family "Bacterial small subunit ribosomal RNA", at positions 524 to 776 of the family's 1533-position model. The record is from RNAcentral.